Molecule: long non-coding RNA, 915 nt
Filed under: Crocodylus porosus (Australian saltwater crocodile)
Lineage: Eukaryota; Metazoa; Chordata; Crocodylia; Crocodylidae
Description: lncRNA (ENSCPRG00005017361.1)
Source: RNAcentral
CCUCCAUUUGGGGCAGUCCUGGGUGAUAAUCUCCUAUGAACUGAUGUUGAUGCCACAUUUUUUCAGGUUAGCACUUUCUUUGCCCUCCUCUUAAGCAUACUCUUUGACUGAGCUGGGAGACUAAAACUUGCUUCAGGAGUUUGGAGUUGGAUAUCUGGGUGAUGUGGCUGGCCAACGAAGCUGAUGUCAGAUGAUCAUCACCUCAAUUCUCGUGAUGUUGGCUUGCAAGAGGAUGCUGAUGUUGGUGUGUCUAUCUUCCCAUUGGAUUCAAAGGAUCUUCCACAGGCAGCGUUGAUGGUACUUGUCCAUUGACUUGAGACGUCUCCUGCACACUGUCCACAUCUCAGCUGUAUACAGUAAAGUGGAGAUCAUGACUACUAUUAGCCCCAUAAUUGCAUACUAAUAAUUUUUUUACCACAACGCUAUUCUGUCAGGAGCCGAUGGCAGCAGAUGGUCAUAAUGAUACCCCACUGGAUCCAGGAAGGCUGUACACAGGAAAAAUGCCUUUACACAGUAUCAUACUACAACAGUACAUGAGUACUCCCCAGACUCCCUGCAACACUUACACUACAGAGCUGAAACCCAGGCUCACAGCCUACAGGAAGGAAAGUUGCCAUUCCAAAUAAGUGUCCAGUGUGCCAUUAAGCUGCCUUGUGACAAAGUUUUAAAGGCUCAUUGAAGAACGUGACAUUUCAGAGGGUAGGAUGAUGUUAUAAGCUACUCUGUGCAAUCCUUUAACCAAAGUGAGCUCAGCAGGCUUACUGAGAUAAAGCCAGAUUCAUUCACUAGGGAAACCCUAGCUUCAUUUCCCUAGUGCCAGGAAAUCCCACCCAGAGUGGGACCACAGUGGUACAAGCUGCUCUACAGGGUCCUCUGUGAAGCAACUGCAGCUGGCAAAGGGAGUGGGACUGGUUA